Molecule: ribosomal RNA, 407 nt
Filed under: uncultured Actinomycetales bacterium
Lineage: Bacteria; Bacillati; Actinomycetota; Actinomycetes; Actinomycetales
Description: partial 16S ribosomal RNA
Rfam family: Bacterial small subunit ribosomal RNA
Source: RNAcentral
UGGGGAAUAUUGGGCAAUGGAGGAAACUCUGACCCAGCGACGCCGCGUGAGGGAUGAAGGCCUUCGGGUUGUAAACCUCUUUCAGUAGGGAAGAAGCGAAAGUGACGGUACCUACAGAAGAAGCACCGGCUAACUAUGUGCCAGCAGCCGCGGUAAUACAUAGGGUGCAAGCGUUGUCCGGAAUUAUUGGGCGUAAAGAGCUCGUAGGUGGUUCGAUACGUCGGAUGUGAAAAUCAGGGGCUCAACCCCUGACCUGCAUCCGAUACGGUCGAGCUAGAGUUUGGUAGGGGAGACUGGAAUUCCUGGUGUAGCGGUGGAAUGCGCAGAUAUCAGGAGGAACACCGAUGGCGAAGGCAGGUCUCUGGGCCAAUACUGACACUGAGGAGCGAAAGCGUGGGGAGCGAACA